Pan troglodytes (chimpanzee) is the source of this 2234-nucleotide RNA transcript. RefSeq lists it as uncharacterized. Lineage: Eukaryota; Metazoa; Chordata; Mammalia; Primates; Hominidae. The transcript is spliced from 4 exons. The record is from RefSeq and is a predicted model, not a curated record.
AUUGCACCACUGCAGAUUCCAAGAGAAGUAAGCACAAAACUACAGCAACGUCAAAUAAUAUCUUCUUCGGCAACUAGGAAAAUCCCCACAUGCUAUCUGGUGUCAGCCCAAUGCAGACUGAGGCGCGCUGUGCCCGGAACCACAGGAAGCCGGGCAUCUCUGCAGCCUGUGUCCCUGCCAGCUCCCCCUACGCGCUGAAAUUCGGCAGGGAAGAAGUUAUGGUGCCCAGCCUGUGUGUGCAAGACAGAGACACCGCGCAUCAUGGCUCUGAAAAUCAGCCAAGUGGCCGGGACGUCAAAGCGGCAGAGCAAUCAGAAUGCCCUGGAGCCGGGGAUGGAGGGGCCACAUUGUUUGAGCCCUCGGAUUUUGCUGCAUUGUCACCGCCCGGGAACGUAGGGGUAGCAGGAAGCACACCUCCAGCCAAAAAUGGACCGGACGCAUUUUUUUCCCCCCGGCGGCUCCCUCCCUGCCUGUCUGCAAGUCGCAAUACGAUCAGAUUUAUUUGGAGAAGACAAAAAACCCACAACCCAAAGGACGGGAUUUUACAUCUCAAGACAUCUCCCAGGACACCAUUGAAGGCACUGGUUAUUUUACCAAGGCUUUGACUGGAAUGGCAUGGUUUCAGUUAUAAACAGACUGCUUUAAGGAAUCAAAGUUGACUUACAGAGCUGAUAAAAGGCCCCUAAGAAAAACUGGCCUCACCUCUUGUCUAUAUAGUCCCUAUAUAGGUUUCCUGACCUGUGAAGUUCCAGGGAUUGAAUCUUGAGACAAUCUGGGUGCCUAUGGAAUUAUCUCCCACCAGAAGAUUACUUCAAGGCAGCAGCUAAUUUACAACCUGGUCAAGCCUGAGAUGGUGCCAACCCAUUCUUAAGAUGGGACAAUAACUCAAGAUAAGUCAUCAAAACAAGCCACGUAGACCAGCACCACCUCUCAUGCCCCCACCCACCACCCCCCACCCACCACAUAUCCUCCAUACCAAACUUCCCCUUCUUAAACCCUAGCAUUUUGCCCAAGAAUUUUGAAGCAGUUUCAUUAAGGCAGGAGCCUGAACCACUUCCCCACUGUUAGCUUUGGAAAAUGAAGUCAAUUUCCUUAUACUGAACCUUGUCCUUGUUAUUCAGUUUUGCAAGUGGUGAGCAGCUGAACCUACAUUUGGUUGCAGUCUUAUUUCUCAAUUGGGGCAGUGUCUGUUUUGUCUCUCAACUGGGGCAGCACAGCGUUAAAGCUAGUGAUUUAAUUUCUUUUAUGGAGAAGUUAUUCCCUUACCCUUUAUUUUGUAAGGUAUUAGUAAUAGACCAGUGAUGGUUAUUAUGUUUAGUCAUACUAGUGUUAAGUACCAAUAACUGUGCUGGGGAAACAUGGAUAUAUAAUAUUUCUGAUAUUCUAUCCAAUCUUGCCCUUGAAGAGAUUCCCACUAUGGGAAAUCCAGAACUACUGGAAAGGGACAUGAGACCACAUACCCAAUGAGCAUCCUUUUGUAACCUAUUAGCAUAGUGUUGGGCCCAUUGCAAAAAGAGGUUGCUUUAUGGGCAACAAGUGGUAUAGUAGUACCAAGGCAUGAGAACUAAGGAGAAAAAAAAAAAGAAGUUUGGUGGAAGCUUGUAAAAUAAAAUAUUCUCCAUCUAUUAACAAUUGUUAAUAUUAAGCAUUAAGUUAGAUACAGACCUGGUCCAGGUCUUGGGACACCCAACCAUGUCUGCGACCAUCUUCUUCUCAAUUGGGCACCACCUUAUCUUAAGUAGAAGAUUACUCUCUGGUGAAACAGUCUAUUCAGGAGGCUCAGCUUUCCUUAGAUGUGAGACGUGAAUCCAGGAGUCUAUGCCUUCUAGUUUAGCAGCACAAGGAUUAGUAAGAAGUACCUGGUAAGGUCCGCUGUAUCCUGGUUGGAGACAAUCUUUUAAGAAAUGUUUCCAAUAGACAAAAUCUCCAGGUUCAAGUCUGUGGUUCUUAGAUUUAUGUUUCCAAGAAGCUUUCUGUGAAAAGAUUAUUUUACUAAGUCACAAGGUGGCACAAUUUCUAGGAGACAUUUUGAUAGGUUUGCCUGUUAUUUUAAAUGGAGAUAACUGUUAUUUUACCAAAAGGAGUAAAUCUUUUGUUUAGCAAAACCAAUGGAAUGGAUUUUGGCCAAGGAAUUUUAAAAGCCUCAGUUAAUUUUACCAUUUGGGUUUUUAUUAUUCUGUUUGUGCAUUCUACUAACCCAGAUGAUGGGGAGUAAUAAACACAAUGGAAAUGCU